GACGAACGCUGGCGGCGUGCUUAACACAUGCAAGUCGAACGGAAAGGCCCUGCUUUUGUGGGGUGCUCGAGUGGCGAAAGGGUGAGUAACACGUGAGUAACCUGCCCUUGACUUUGGGAUAACUUCAGGAAACUGGGGCUAAUACCGGAUAGGAGCUCCUGCUGCAUGGUGGGGGUUGGAAAGUUUCGGCGGUUGGGGAUGGACUCGCGGCUUAUCAGCUUGUUGGUGGGGUAGUGGCUUACCAAGGCUUUGACGGGUAGCCGGCCUGAGAGGGUGACCGGCCACAUUGGGACUGAGAUACGGCCCAGACUCCUACGGGAGGCAGCAGUGGGGAAUAUUGCACAAUGGGCGGAAGCCUGAUGCAGCAACUCCGCGUGCGGGAUGACGGCCUUCGGGUUGUAAACCGCUUUCGCCUGUGACGAAGCGUGAGUGACGGUAAUGGGUAAAGAAGCACCGGCUAACUACGUG
RNAcentral lists this ribosomal RNA (468 nucleotides) under uncultured bacterium. RNAcentral describes it as "partial 16S ribosomal RNA". It matches the Rfam family "Bacterial small subunit ribosomal RNA", at positions 28 to 507 of the family's 1533-position model. The record is from RNAcentral.